This 21-nucleotide microRNA is filed under the name Drosophila melanogaster (fruit fly). RNAcentral's name for it is "dme-miR-9373-3p". Lineage: Eukaryota; Metazoa; Arthropoda; Insecta; Diptera; Drosophilidae. The record is from miRBase by way of RNAcentral.
CAUCGCUCUUGGCCAGCUCGU